Molecule: long non-coding RNA, 1666 nt
Organism: Cyprinodon tularosa
Lineage: Eukaryota; Metazoa; Chordata; Actinopteri; Cyprinodontiformes; Cyprinodontidae
Exons: 2
Source: RefSeq, a predicted model, not a curated record
UUUCACACCCAGUGGAAGCCUGAAAAUAUGAAAAACCUAUUAAGUUCUAAAGCAUUUAUUUUCUUUUAAACAUUAAACAAUAAUCUCUGCUACAGAAUAAUAUUACAGCUGAAGGUUUGGACUCACUUGUCCCGCCUCACAGACCAAAACGCUGCAGAUUAGAGCAGAAUGUUUUUAGAUGUAGUCCUUUUAAUUAGUUGAUAAAUCAUGAAUUCAAUGAAAUAAUCAAUAUUAAAAAUUUUAUCAACAUUUUAUCUCAUAUAAUUUAACUCCCAGUUGUAUUUAAUGAUCUUUUAACAGGAAAGAUCAAGAAAAUUCAAAACUGAUCAACAUUUCAGAUCAUAAAUAGUAACUGCAUAGUUAGUUUGCCUAGUAACUAUUACUCUGUGCAGUAACUGAGUUACUAACUCUGCUCCUGUUUGGUAGCAGUAACUAACUAGUCCUAUUCUAACUAGCAUUACUAACCCUGAUUAUUGCCUUAGUUAUUGCAGUAGAGUUGAUCUUGUAACUUGUUGAGCUUCUGUUCUUCUAAAGUCAGUCUGCUGCCAUCUGCUGGAUAAAGAAAUAAAAAGUUCUGUAAUUCUGAUUGAUCAGCUGGCAGUGAUGGAAACCUUUUUGCUCUAGGAGUUCAGAUGUUCCUUGUUGUCUCUGAGUGAUGGUGGAGCUGAUGUGUUGCUGACUCUUCUCCUCGGCCUCCUCCAACAGGAUGAAGAUGAUCUGCUGGAUCCCGCCGCUCAUCAUCAUCAUCCUCAGCUCAUGUCUCUGUGGUCAGUUUCCAUCUUCUCUUUGUUCUAAAUCCAUCAGUAAUCAGUGAAAAGUCUGUCAGUGAAGCUAACACUUCAAUCCUCCUGCUGCAUUUGAUCCAGCAGUUUGACUAGAAGAGAAUCAAGCAGAGCUCUGACAGCACAGAGACCAUCAUGAGACAGAAACCUCUAGAGAUGGACUUUAAAGGCUCCCAUAUUCCAGUUCUCAGCCAUGGCCACUGCUCUAUCUGAAGAGUUGGUACCGAGAAAAAGGACUCGUGUUUCAUCAAAUAUAUGGAAGUGGUUCAACAAGGCAGAGACAGAGCAGACUACAGUAGUGUGCAAGGUUUGUCGAAAUACUAUGAAAACCAAGACUAGCAGCACAGCUAAGUUGUUUCAGCCUCUCUGGCAAAGGCACCUCACAGAAUGGGAGCAGUGCUCACAGCUUUGGGAGUGCAGCGUCGAUUGCACGGGCAAAGACAAACACGACAAGAAAAGACAACAAACCCUGGCCGUCUCAUUUUCUAAAGUGCUGCCAUACGACAAGUGUGCGGUGGAAACAGAUGACUGACGCUGUAGCUGUUCAUAUAGGGAUGGACAUGGUGCCCAUUUACAACGUAGAGGAGCCUGGCUUCCUUCUCAUGCAACAAGUGUGUGUUUCAAAAUAUGACCCGCAGAGUCGCAAAUACUUAGCAGAGAUUGCGCUACUUAAACUGUAGAACAAAACACGACAAGCGCUCAGAGAAAAGUUGGACCCUUUGUUGUUUGCAACUGUUUCAGACCUUUGGUCCCGUCGAUCUCUCCAGCUGUUCAUGAGUUAAUUAUAAUGAUGUGAACUGGGCUCUCAGCAGCUGCUGCUUACAGACCACCUACUUCCCAGAAGAUAAAUACAAGUUAUUGACUGUUUGAUAAAUUGCAUAUUU